This 380-nucleotide ribosomal RNA is filed under the name uncultured bacterium. RNAcentral's name for it is "bacterial SSU rRNA". It matches the Rfam family "Bacterial small subunit ribosomal RNA", at positions 523 to 898 of the family's 1533-position model. The record is from RNAcentral.
AUACGUAGGGGGCGAGCGUUGUCCGGAAUUAUUGGGCGUAAAGAGCUCGUAGGCGGCUCAGCAAGUCGGCUGUGAAAUCCCGAGGCUCAACCUCGGAACUGCAGUCGAUACUGCUGUGGCUAGAGUCUGGUAGAGGAGAGUGGAAUUCCCGGUGUAGCGGUGAAAUGCGCAGAUAUCGGGAGGAACACCAGUAGCGAAGGCGGCUCUCUGGGCCAGUACUGACGCUGAGGAGCGAAAGCGUGGGGAGCAAACAGGAUUAGAUACCCUGGUAGUCCACGCCGUAAACGUUGGGUACUAGGUGUGGCGUCCCGAUCAACGGAUGCCGUGCCGAAGCUAACGCAUUAAGUACCCCGCCUGGGGAGUACGGCCGCAAGGCUAAA